This 1124-nucleotide ribosomal RNA is filed under the name Vibrio sp. Its description in RNAcentral is "bacterial SSU rRNA". It matches the Rfam family "Bacterial small subunit ribosomal RNA", at positions 56 to 1161 of the family's 1533-position model. Lineage: Bacteria; Pseudomonadati; Pseudomonadota; Gammaproteobacteria; Vibrionales; Vibrionaceae. The record is from RNAcentral.
UGCAGUCGAGCGGAACGAGUUAUCUGAACCUUCGGGGAACGAUAACGGCGUCGAGCGGCGGACGGGUGAGUAAUGCCUAGGAAAUUGCCCUGAUGUGGGGGAUAACCAUUGGAAACGAUGGCUAAUACCGCAUGAUGCCUACGGGCCAAAGAGGGGGACCUUCGGGCCUCUCGCGUCAGGAUAUGCCUAGGUGGGAUUAGCUAGUUGGUGAGGUAAGGGCUCACCAAGGCGACGAUCCCUAGCUGGUCUGAGAGGAUGAUCAGCCACACUGGAACUGAGACACGGUCCAGACUCCUACGGGAGGCAGCAGUGGGGAAUAUUGCACAAUGGGCGCAAGCCUGAUGCAGCCAUGCCGCGUGUAUGAAGAAGGCCUUCGGGUUGUAAAGUACUUUCAGUCGUGAGGAAGGCGGCGUCGUUAAUAGCGGCGUUGUUUGACGUUAGCGACAGAAGAAGCACCGGCUAACUCCGUGCCAGCAGCCGCGGUAAUACGGAGGGUGCGAGCGUUAAUCGGAAUUACUGGGCGUAAAGCGCAUGCAGGUGGUUUGUUAAGUCAGAUGUGAAAGCCCGGGGCUCAACCUCGGAAUAGCAUUUGAAACUGGCAGACUAGAGUACUGUAGAGGGGGGUAGAAUUUCAGGUGUAGCGGUGAAAUGCGUAGAGAUCUGAAGGAAUACCGGUGGCGAAGGCGGCCCCCUGGACAGAUACUGACACUCAGAUGCGAAAGCGUGGGGAGCAAACAGGAUUAGAUACCCUGGUAGUCCACGCCGUAAACGAUGUCUACUUGGAGGUUGUGGCCUUGAGCCGUGGCUUUCGGAGCUAACGCGUUAAGUAGACCGCCUGGGGAGUACGGUCGCAAGAUUAAAACUCAAAUGAAUUGACGGGGGCCCGCACAAGCGGUGGAGCAUGUGGUUUAAUUCGAUGCAACGCGAAGAACCUUACCUACUCUUGACAUCCAGAGAACUUUCCAGAGAUGGAUUGGUGCCUUCGGGAACUCUGAGACAGGUGCUGCAUGGCUGUCGUCAGCUCGUGUUGUGAAAUGUUGGGUUAAGUCCCGCAACGAGCGCAACCCUUAUCCUUGUUUGCCAGCGAGUAAUGUCGGGAACUCCAGGGAAACUGCCGGUGAUAA